This 498-nucleotide ribosomal RNA is filed under the name uncultured Spirochaetota bacterium. RNAcentral's name for it is "bacterial SSU rRNA". It matches the Rfam family "Bacterial small subunit ribosomal RNA", at positions 97 to 581 of the family's 1533-position model. The record is from RNAcentral. Lineage: Bacteria; Pseudomonadati; Spirochaetota.
GGCGAACGGGUGAGUAACACGUAGGUGAUCUGUCCCCGGGUGGGGUAUAGCCCAUGGAAACAUGGGGUAAUACCGCAUGAGGUCCUGGAGCUUGAAGGCUUCUGGAUGAAAGGCGCAAUUGUGUUGCCUGGGGAUGAGCCUGCGGCUCAUUAGCUAGUUGGCGGGGUAAGGGCCCACCAAGGCGACGAUGGGUAGCCGGCCUGAGAGGGUGUACGGCCACACUGGGACUGAGACACGGCCCAGACUCCUACGGGAGGCAGCAGCUAAGAAUCUUCCGCAAUGGGGGAAACCCUGACGGAGCGACGCCGCGUGGACGAAGAAGGCCGCAAGGUUGUAAAGUCCUUUUGCAGACGAAGAAUAGGCUUAGGAGUGGAACGCCUGAGCGAUGACGUUAGUCUGCGAAUAAGCCCCGGCCAAUUACGUGCCANCAGCCGCGGUAACACGUAUGGGGCGAGCGUUGUUCGGAAUCACUGGGCGUAAAGGGCGUGUAGGCGGUUC